UAGCCACGGGAAUACCAGCUCUCCGAGUGGUUGGGACGCUUACUGGGCCUAAAGCAUCCGUAGCCGGCUGGACAAGUCCCCCUGUUAAAUCCAGCGAUCUAAUCGUUGGGCUGUGGGGGAUACUGCUCAGCUAGGGGCGGGAGAGGCCGACGGUAUUCUCGGGUAGGGGUGAAAUCUUAUAAUCCCGGGAGGACCACCAGUGGCGAAGGC
Molecule: ribosomal RNA, 210 nt
Filed under: uncultured archaeon
Lineage: Archaea
Description: partial 16S ribosomal RNA
Rfam family: Archaeal small subunit ribosomal RNA
Source: RNAcentral